AGGUCUCCCUCGGUUAUGAGGAUUACAUUCUGGGAAAGACACAGAUCGAGUGGACAGCCAGCACCUUUUCCCCCAGGGUGAAAAUGGCUAAAAGGAGAGGCUGAUUGGAGGAGAGUACAGGGGGAUGUCAAAGGUACUGCUUUUUUUAAAACAGGGUGAUCAGUGGGAGACUGAUACAUUGGUGACAGUAAAGAGACUCUUAGAUAGGAUGGAGUGCUACAUGGAUGGCUACCCCUUGAGUUUGAUGAAAGAGGGAGGGGCCAGAUCCAGUUCUGCCAGACGGAGGAGGGUAGUGAUGGAGGGGACCUGGUCGGGUUUGCUAUCGAGAGUGAAGCUUUUUUCAAGGAAGUGAUAACCUCAAAGUGGUGUCCCGUUAUGGAUGGUGCCCUGUCUGAUGCUCAAGCAAAAAACAUUGCCCCCAUGAAAAUAACAACUCUUGAAUCAUGCCUUCAUUACUUAUGAAGUGACAUAAUGAAGAAGUAAAGAUCUGUUGCCCGGUGAAGUUGACUCAUCCAACUGCAGAGCAAAUGCUGUUGUCCUAAGUAUGUUGCAUGAUGUGUCUUCCAAGUUCUCAGACAUUUCAUCUAUUUGUCUUUGAACAGAGUUGUUCUGGUGGUUAUACAAAUAUUUACUUAAAACCCCUCCCUUACUGCUGGCAAAAUUAGUUCUUCUCCCGUUGUAGGGGCUUUCCUGAUUUAGCAAGGGGCAAUGAAAUGUUGUAUGAAGCAUGGAAACCAUCACCAUUUUGUUGUGAAGGGCUGAUAAACAUGUUUUGAAGUGUUUUCCAUUUCUGAACGUUUUCACGAAAUGUCUGAAAAUAAACUAAGUUCUUCUUUGCUUUAUCAGAGUGUAUUUUCCUCAAAUUUUCAUGGAGCCUGGAUGGUUUCAUUGCCUCAUUUGA
Long non-coding RNA from Hypanus sabinus (Atlantic stingray), 901 nucleotides. RefSeq lists it as uncharacterized. The transcript has 3 exons. NCBI's taxonomy places the organism in Eukaryota, Metazoa, Chordata, Chondrichthyes, Myliobatiformes, Dasyatidae. The record is from RefSeq and is a predicted model, not a curated record.